This 265-nucleotide ribosomal RNA is filed under the name uncultured bacterium. RNAcentral describes it as "partial 16S ribosomal RNA". It matches the Rfam family "Bacterial small subunit ribosomal RNA", at positions 8 to 269 of the family's 1533-position model. The record is from RNAcentral.
AGAGUUUGAUCCUGGCUCAGUAUGAACGCUAGCUACAGGCUUAACACAUGCAAGUCGAGGGGCAGCAUGACCUAGCAAUAGGUUGAUGGCGACCGGCGCACGGGUGAGUAACACGUAUCCAACCUACCGGUUAUUCCGGGAUAGCCUUUCGAAAGAAAGAUUAAUACCGGAUAGUAUAACGAGAAGGCAUCUUCUUGUUAUUAAAGAAUUUCGAUAACCGAUGGGGAUGCGUUCCAUUAGUUUGUUGGCGGGGUAACGGCCCACC